GACGAACGCUGGCGGCGUGGAUUAGGCAUGCAAGUCGAACGGUAUCAUCCUUUCGGGGGUGAGAGAGUGGCGAACUGGUGAGUAACACGUAGGUUAUCUACCCUCAAGACGGGGACAACCCAGGGAAACUUGGGCUAAUACCGGAUGUGAGCAACUUUUAGUUGUUUGAAAGGUGGCGUAAGCUGUCGCUUGGGGAUGAGCCUGCGUCCUAUUAGUUAGUUGGUGAGGUAACGGCUCACCUAGGCAAUGAUAGGUAGGCGGCCUUAACGGGUGGCCGCCCACACUGGGAUUGAGAUACGGCCCAGACUCCUACGGGAGGCAGCAGUCGAGAAUAGUCUACAAUGGUCGGAAGACUGAUAGUGCGACGCCGCGUGAACGAUGAAUCCCUUCGGGGUGUAAAGUUCUUUUAUAUGUGAGCAGUGCUUCUUAUAUUAACAGUAUGGGGAGAGAGAUAUUAGCAUAUGAAUAAGCAACGGCUAACUCCGUGCCAGCAGCCGCGGUAAA
This 504-nucleotide ribosomal RNA is filed under the name uncultured bacterium. RNAcentral describes it as "bacterial SSU rRNA". It matches the Rfam family "Bacterial small subunit ribosomal RNA", at positions 28 to 524 of the family's 1533-position model. The record is from RNAcentral.